This 585-nucleotide ribosomal RNA is filed under the name Bacillus halotolerans. RNAcentral's name for it is "bacterial SSU rRNA". It matches the Rfam family "Bacterial small subunit ribosomal RNA", at positions 57 to 625 of the family's 1533-position model. The record is from RNAcentral. Lineage: Bacteria; Bacillati; Bacillota; Bacilli; Caryophanales; Bacillaceae.
GCAGUCGAGCGGACAGAUGGGAGCUUGCUCCCUGAUGUUAGCGGCGGACGGGUGAGAAACACGUGGGUAACCUGCCUGUAAGACUGGGAUAACUCCGGGAAACCGGGGCUAAUACCGGAUGCUUGUUUGAACCGCAUGGUUCAAACAUAAAAGGUGGCUUCGGCUACCACUUACAGAUGGACCCGCGGCGCAUUAGCUAGUUGGUGAGGUAAUGGCUCACCAAGGCAACGAUGCGUAGCCGACCUGAGAGGGUGAUCGGCCACACUGGGACUGAGACACGGCCCAGACUCCUACGGGAGGCAGCAGUAGGGAAUCUUCCGCAAUGGACGAAAGUCUGACGGAGCAACGCCGCGUGAGUGAUGAAGGUUUUCGGAUCGUAAAGCUCUGUUGUUAGGGAAGAACAAGUACCGUUCGAAUAGGGCGGUACCUUGACGGUACCUAACCAGAAAGCCACGGCUAACUACGUGCCAGCAGCCGCGGUAAUACGUAGGUGGCAAGCGUUGUCCGGAAUUAUUGGGCGUAAAGGGCUCGCAGGCGGUUCCUUAAGUCUGAUGUGAAAGCCCCCGGCUCAACCGGGGAGGGUCA